Molecule: long non-coding RNA, 241 nt
Filed under: Mytilus galloprovincialis (Mediterranean mussel)
Lineage: Eukaryota; Metazoa; Mollusca; Bivalvia; Mytilida; Mytilidae
Source: RNAcentral
UAGUACCAGAAACAAAAACGACACGAAAUGUUAACAUACGCAAAUUGCUAUUCAAUUAAUGUUUCAAGUCCUAACAAAAAGCGGUUGGAUUCCAAACCCGAAUUUUGAUACCUAAUAAAAGCUAUAAUUUAAGAAUUAAUUCACGCAUGAAAUGGAUCUUGUUUUUUAAAUACUGUUCAUUCAACAAACCAUCACGGACAAAUAUUGCUAUCUACCGCAUGUUUUUUCCUGAUAUCGGAAC